CCUACGGGAGGCAGCAGUAGGGAAUAUUGGACAAUGGACGCAAGUCUGAUCCAGCCAUCCCGCGUGAAGGAUUAAGGCCCUAUGGGUUGUAAACUUCUUUUCUUUGGGAAUAAAAAGCGGUAUUCAUAUCGCCUUGAAGGUACCAGAGGAAUAAGCACCGGCUAACUCCGUGCCAGCAGCCGCGGUAAUACGGAGGGUGCAAGCGUUAUCCGGAUUCACUGGGUUUAAAGGGUGCGUAGGUGGCUUUGUAAGUCAGCGGUGAAAGCCUGGAGCUCAACUCCAGAAUUGCCAUUGAUACUGCAGAGCUUGAAUCAAGUUGAGGUGGAUGGAAUAUUACAUGUAGCGGUGAAAUGCUUAGAUAUGUAAUAGAACACCGAUUGCGAAGGCAGUUCACUAAGCUUGUAUUGACACUGAGGCACGAAAGCGUGGGGAUCAAACAGGAUUAGAUACCCUGGUAGUCCACGCCCUAAACGAUGCAAACUCGACAUUAGCGAUAUACAGUUAGUGUCCAAGCGAAAGCGUUAAGUUUGCCACCUGGGAAGUACGACCGCAAGGUUGAAACUCAAAUGAAAUUGACGGNGUGAGAGNGCGAGGCGACACGAGGGAGGAG
RNAcentral lists this ribosomal RNA (610 nucleotides) under uncultured bacterium. RNAcentral's name for it is "bacterial SSU rRNA". It matches the Rfam family "Bacterial small subunit ribosomal RNA", at positions 338 to 950 of the family's 1533-position model. The record is from RNAcentral.